CGCUGUUUACCUUGGCUGCCCGCGUGGCAGUUUUACAGAUAUUAAAUACCGACCCGGGGGUGAGCGGGGCUCCUCGCUACGUGCGCUCGCCGGGGGCCGGCCGGGCAUCCCAACCCGGACGCCCACGCCACGGGGUCAGUAGUGCCCCUACCCCGCGCUCUAUGCAGAUGGCUUUCAGCAUUUGGUGCUGGGGGGACGCCCAGGGCAAUCCCUUCCCAGCCUGUUCGUCUCCUUAUUCCAUUUUCUGCGUAGGGCGGAGCGGCGAGGAGGGGGCCCAUAGCUGUAUGAGCCGCUCAGUUCUUGGCCUCUGUAUCCGGAAAGCGGAGGUCUCCGGCGAAGGCACCUCCUCAGCAGGGCUCCGGUGGCCGCUUCUCAAGUAGUAGAAGCGACCUCUCUCCCCAGAGACCCCUGUGGGACCGAGGAGCAUUCUGCCCGAGCCCCAGUCUUCAGCCGGCAGGCAGAAGGCUCCCUGCAGAGGCACAAGCCAUGUUGAUUUUACGGAGAAGGCUGCUAUGCACAUUUCACUGCUGAUUUAUUGUUUCUUAACUAGAUCCUUAUGCUGGGCUAAAAAAGCCAUCUUGCACUUUGCAAGGCUCUGCUGACUGCUGCCUAAAAUGACACACGGGGCUCCUCCUGCCCUUUCCCCCACCUCGUCCCACCUACCGAAAGGGCGAAGGAAAGGCGUGAGCAGGGAGCCCUCUUCUGAGGAAGGAGCCUCAGCCUGCAGCUUCCCAACCACUGACCACCUGCGGUGUGCCCUGGGGCUAAACUCCUGGAGGACAAGGACUAUGCUACCCAUCUCCUCAACUGCCUGGCGCAAGAGAGGGAGCAGAAGACAGUUUUGGUUGAAGAAUGAGCUUGAGAAUGUGGGGAAGGAGGUUUGGUUGUGGCAUAAGGUUUGGGUUUUUAAAUUAUUAUUUU
Molecule: long non-coding RNA, 921 nt
Filed under: Fukomys damarensis (Damara mole-rat)
Lineage: Eukaryota; Metazoa; Chordata; Mammalia; Rodentia; Bathyergidae
Description: lncRNA (ENSFDAG00000030644.1)
Source: RNAcentral